RNAcentral lists this transfer RNA (71 nucleotides) under Chingawaemys sp. LAV1667. RNAcentral's name for it is "tRNA-Asn". It matches the Rfam family "tRNA". Rfam says of the family: Transfer RNA (tRNA) molecules are approximately 80 nucleotides in length. Lineage: Eukaryota; Metazoa; Chordata; Mammalia; Rodentia; Muridae. The record is from RNAcentral.
UAGAUUGAAGCCAGUCGUAGGGUGUUUAGCUGUUAACUAAAGUUUCGUAGGUUUGAUUCCUACCAAUCUAG